RNAcentral lists this ribosomal RNA (997 nucleotides) under uncultured bacterium. RNAcentral's name for it is "bacterial SSU rRNA". It matches the Rfam family "Bacterial small subunit ribosomal RNA", at positions 8 to 985 of the family's 1533-position model. The record is from RNAcentral.
AGAGUUUGAUCCUGGCUCAGGACGAACGCUGGCGGCGUGCCUAAUACAUGCAAGUCGAGCGGACUGAUGGGAGCUUGCUCCCUGAUGUUAGCGGCGGACGGGUGAGUAACACGUGGGCAACCUGCCUGUAAGACUGGGAUAACUCCGGGAAACCGGGGCUAAUACCGGAUAACCCGUUCCACCUCAUGGUGGAGCGGUAAAAGAUGGCCUCUGGCUAUCACUUACAGAUGGGCCCGCGGCGCAUUAGCUAGUUGGUAAGGUAACGGCUUACCAAGGCGACGAUGCGUAGCCGACCUGAGAGGGUGAUCGGCCACACUGGGACUGAGACACGGCCCAGACUCCUACGGGAGGCAGCAGUAGGGAAUCUUCCGCAAUGGACGAAAGUCUGACGGAGCAACGCCGCGUGAGUGAUGAAGGUUUUCGGAUCGUAAAGCUCUGUUGUUAGGGAAGAACAAGUGCCGUUUGAAUAAGGCGGCACCUUGACGGUACCUAACCAGAAAGCCACGGCUAACUACGUGCCAGCAGCCGCGGUAAUACGUAGGUGGCAAGCGUUGUCCGGAAUUAUUGGGCGUAAAGCGCGCGCAGGCGGUCUCUUAAGUCUGAUGUGAAAGCCCACGGCUCAACCGUGGAGGGUCAUUGGAAACUGGGAGACUUGAGUACAGAAGAGGAGAGUGGAAUUCCACGUGUAGCGGUGAAAUGCGUAGAUAUGUGGAGGAACACCAGUGGCGAAGGCGACUCUCUGGUCUGUAACUGACGCUGANGCGCGAAAGCGUGGGGAGCAAACAGGAUUAGAUACCCUGGUAGUCCACGCCGUAAACGAUGAGUGCUAGGUGUUAGGGGUUUCGAUGCCCUUAGUGCCGAAGUUAACACAUUAAGCACUCCGCCUGGGGAGUACNACCGCAAGGUUGAAACUCAAAGGANUNGACGGGGGNCCGCACAAGCAGUGGAGCAUGNNGUUUAAUUCGAAGCAACGCGAANNANCUUACCANGNCNUGAC